Molecule: ribosomal RNA, 460 nt
Filed under: uncultured bacterium
Lineage: Bacteria
Description: partial 16S ribosomal RNA
Rfam family: Bacterial small subunit ribosomal RNA
Source: RNAcentral
CCUACGGGUGGCAGCAGUGAGGAAUAUUGGUCAAUGGGCGUAAGCCUGAACCAGCCAAGCCGCGUGAGGGAUGAAGGUUCUAUGGAUCGUAAACCUCUUUUAUACGGGAGUAAAGUGAGGGACGCGUACUAGUUUGUAAGUAUCUUACGAAUAAGGAUCGGCUAACUCCGUGCCAGCAGCCGCGGUAAUACGGAGGAUGCGAGCGUUAUCCGGAUUUAUUGGGUUUAAAGGGUGCGUAGGCGGUCUGGUAAGUCAGCGGUGAAAGUCGGUGGCUCAACUAGAGAAUUGCCUAUGAUACUGGGGGGCUAGAGUAUGUUUGAGGCAGGCGGAAUGCGUGGUGUAGCGGUGAAAUGCUUAGAUAUCAAGCAGAACCCCGAUUGCGAAGGCAGCUUACCAAGCCAUGACUGACGCUGAGGCACGAAAGCGUGGGGAGCAAACAGGAUUAGAUACCCCAGUAGUC